Molecule: long non-coding RNA, 336 nt
Organism: Saccostrea cuccullata (small rock oyster)
Lineage: Eukaryota; Metazoa; Mollusca; Bivalvia; Ostreida; Ostreidae
Exons: 3
Source: RefSeq, a predicted model, not a curated record
UGAACAGCAUGGAUUUUCAUGAUUUAUCUUACGAUGGAGAAUAGAGAACACGUCAAUUCAUCAGAUAUGACGGGUCUUUUCUUUGGCAUUAGAUGUGACACGUGUAGUGCGCUGGUACCAUGUAGGCUUCAGAACUUUCAUCUAUGAAGACCCACUUGCUAAUGGCCACCAUGCACAGAAAAGACCAUGAUGUGGAGGACAUAUGUGCUUAGUUAUUAAAGUCAGGACAGAAUACAUUUAGAAACUGAUCAUGCCUUGGUCAAAUCAAAGGAGUUCCCUCAGUCUUUCAGAGAGAUGGCAGAGAGUUCAUUCAACAUGAAGAUGAUGUGCACAUAA